UGUUCCGUUCCUCUUCUGGCUACGGUUCGUCGUCGUUGGAUCGCAGCCGUGGUCGCCGCCGCCGCCGCCGCAGCGACUCUCUUCUCCCAGGCCAACGAACGGAUAAACUCGUUCCCCUCUCUCUCUCUCUCUCUCUCGCGUUCGUAAACUCUGUCCUGUUUUCGCUUGAUCAUCUUACUCCGCUGGUGCAGGGUACGAUUCGCUGUGCGAUACGUGUGCGGACGUAACGUACACCGUGUAUGUAUACGUCGGACGGACCGACGUGACGGAAAAACUCGCUAAUGGAUGAGACGCGAUCCCCGGGCUCGUCAUCGUCGCGUAUAUACAUAGACUUGCCAAAAGAAAUCGAGAGGCUCUCGAAUCCAUGCGUCGCGCUUUGGUCUUUACAGGUACCUACACCUAUAGAGUAAAUCAACAGAUCCUUUUCGACGCGGGCGGCAGUUCCACUCCUUGAUGUACGGCCAAGGGGAGUCCCCCCCAUGUGACCGACAUGUAAGGUAGUCGGGACCGGGGGGAUAUUAUAAAGUAUACUUGGCGAUGACGUAGCCGGCACCGUAAGAAGAGAGUCUCGGAUCGAGGUGUCCGUUUGUCCACGUGUGUGCGUCUGUAUGUAUACUCGUACGUAUAAAUACACGUAUCGCAACGGUGGAACACAUUCGGUGCAGUAUGGAAGCCGUGGUUUAAUCAGUGCGUACCAUCUGCCUACCCCGUCGAGAUCUGUUAUACGUAUGAGAAAUGAACCGACGAUCACGAUCCAUGAUUGGCAAUGAAUAUACCAUUCAACGAAUCAUCGAAUUGACCAUCGGCACGAGUACCUACGCAGAAUUUUUUCAUAAUUAUUGCCUCGAGAUUGGUAAAAAAUAUUUCAGUACACCGAUUUUACUGUUUCGCUAACGAUAAGUACUUGCAAUACAUGUGGAUGUAAGCUAUAUUAUCAGUGAAAGCACAAAAAAGUUUAAUCCAAUUUGCACAGCUAUCGGUUCAUGACUUUUGGUCGGGGAUAGAUUAUUUUUUGUCAUUCAGUCGAUGUACUGUGCUGAAUCGGUUUCGAACUUCGCAAUCUGGAUCGCGGAAUCGGAUUCAACGACCUCGAAAAUAUCUCGAUAUCGAACUUGACAGAAAUCAGUUGGAUAAUUCCCAAUGUAAGAAACGGAAAUUCAUGUAUCGGCUUCCGAUCGACUGGCUAAGGAUUAAUGGGGUAUAAUUUUCUAAUAACUCAUCUUCACUAUUACAGGCGUUGAAGGUUCCUUAAUAGAUUUUAUCCAUAGCCCGCACAGAAGGUGAAGAAUGAUAA
Long non-coding RNA from Neodiprion fabricii, 1294 nucleotides. RefSeq lists it as uncharacterized. Lineage: Eukaryota; Metazoa; Arthropoda; Insecta; Hymenoptera; Diprionidae. The transcript is spliced from 3 exons. The record is from RefSeq and is a predicted model, not a curated record.